AAACCAAUCAAUUUAGUUCUUUUGUUCAGCUCGAUUCAAAAUUACCACAAUAAAAAAUAGUUUAGUUGGUUUUCUGAUCGUAACCAAAUCAUUUAAUGAGAUACUCAGCUAGUAACUCCCAUUACUUCUUCCAUCAGAUGCCAUUUCUACAAUCAGAAAACCUAAGCAAAACAUGCUAUCAAUUUUAUUUUUUUUGAGGCAAUAAACAAUUUAAAAAACACAAAAAUAGAUUAAAUUACUUUAACUUACAGCUUGAUUAUCUAAAUAUUUUUCUGCUUUUUGACAUAGACUCUACAAAUGAUUAUAUUUCAAAAUUUAAUUUUAAGUUAAAAUAAUUUAUUUUUCAUUCAUAAAGACUUUUUUUAUUUAUUUUACAUACAAAAAUUUAUUUUAUAAUAAUUUUAAUUAAACAUAAAAAUAUUUUUUAAUCUGUAUUUUUUAAACUAUAAACACAAUACCCAACACAAGCUAAACAGGAGACUCCAUAUCAACUAACCAAACAGACUCUAGGAAAAGGAGCACCAAAAAAUUUAUUGAUGACAGAAUUGCUUUCCUGCGAAGUAAUAAAAAAUAACCGUGGGGCCACAAGUCACCAAAAAAGAAACCAGUGCUUUACAGAAAAUAAGUCAAAAUAGUGAGUACAUUCUCCACAGAGAAAUUUUAAUCCACCAUUUUUUCUUCUAGGAUAACAUAAAAUGACCACACCUAGCCCCUUGCGCGUGGAAAUAGAACUGCCCGAGCACAAACUAUUUUGAAAGAAACUAACUAGACCUUUACAGAAAGGAACUGAACCCCAAAACUAACAAUUUCCAGAAGUAGGGCGAAAAUAAUGAAAGCCAGAGUAACCAUUCGCCUCUGUAUUAAGAGCUAACUAAUAAAAACCAACAUCAAUAAAAACAUUGAAGAUAAUUGCUUUACACCUGACAUGGCAAAAUAAAAUAGAAAAAUUGAAGCACUUUAGAUUUGUUUUCUUUUUUUAUAUUUGGGUUCGAUCUAUUUUGUAUGUCUUUUAUCUCCACGGUGUCGGUGUCAUAUUAUUUACUGGGCUUGCAGAAUAUUUAAUGGAUUUAAAGAUUGCUAAUAAUAUAAGCUAGUCCAAAUAUCUUAUGCUAUCAUAAACAAAAAAAAUACAAAACAAAGAAAGAUUGAAACAAACAUGAUUGGAGCAUCAAUCCCACAAUCUAGAGACAGGUAACAUUAACUUCAAAAUAAGCUUUAACCAGCUAAUUCGCUGAGUAAGUCCAGCAGAGAUGGAUUUAAAUUAUGUACAAUUUAAAGUUAACCAAGUGAGUGUAUAAUCAUU
Molecule: long non-coding RNA, 1303 nt
Filed under: Populus tremula
Lineage: Eukaryota; Viridiplantae; Streptophyta; Magnoliopsida; Malpighiales; Salicaceae
Description: long non-coding RNA (PTRE_LNC001091)
Source: RNAcentral